This is a non-coding RNA of Salvia hispanica, 262 nucleotides long. The record is from RefSeq and is a predicted model, not a curated record. NCBI's taxonomy places the organism in Eukaryota, Viridiplantae, Streptophyta, Magnoliopsida, Lamiales, Lamiaceae.
CUCUCUUUAUUCUCGUCAUAAAUGAUUUCUGUCUCCAUCAACAAAAUAUCAGAGGGUGAUCAGAUCACUCAUCGGCGGUUAUGGUGUUUUUGAUGGAUCCACUGUGGGAGGGAACAUGAUUGUUAAACGACGCCGUUUUCUGUAUUAGUAGUAGGAGUAUGUUAAUUUUUUAUGUUUUAUAUCAAGCUAGUACUGUAUUUAUGCGAACAAAAUCAUAGUACAAAUAGUUAAGCACAGUUGCCCACUAAUCUUAUGAACUAAA